AUUGAACGCUGGCGGCAUGCCUUACACAUGCAAGUCGAACGGUAACGCGGGGCAACCUGGCGACGAGUGGCGAACGGGUGAGUAAUGUAUCGGAACGUGCCCAGUUGUGGGGGAUAACUACUCGAAAGAGUAGCUAAUACCGCAUACGACCUGAGGGUGAAAGCGGGGGAUCGCAAGACCUCGCGCAAUUGGAGCGGCCGAUAUCAGAUUAGCUAGUUGGCGGGGUAAAAGCCCACCAAGGCGACGAUCUGUAGCUGGUCUGAGAGGACGACCAGCCACACUGGGACUGAGACACGGCCCAGACUCCUACGGGAGGCAGCAGUGGGGAAUUUUGGACAAUGGACGCAAGUCUGAUCCAGCCAUGCCGCGUGCAGG
RNAcentral lists this ribosomal RNA (375 nucleotides) under uncultured bacterium. RNAcentral describes it as "bacterial SSU rRNA". It matches the Rfam family "Bacterial small subunit ribosomal RNA", at positions 30 to 407 of the family's 1533-position model. The record is from RNAcentral.